GAUGUUCGAAAAGCGAUUUCAUAAUUUAUAUUUUUAUUUUGGUGUCGAUUGCUAUUUUCAAAUUAUAUUAUUUGAUGGGUGUGAAUAUGCAAAGAUUCUUACUGGGUUGUAAAGCUCACAACUCCUUUCUAUUUUUUCUUCGAAGUUGCAAGUUACAUAAUAGUUGGCUAUGGUUAAGAUCACAGUUGAAAGGGAAAAAUAGAUAGAGCAUCAUUGUUACUGGUUGGAUGAAUGAAUUUAAUUCUAUACAAGUUUGUUACUUGUUAUGAAAUGAGAUCAUUUUUGUUUACGGAUAUUGAGGUUGUAAUAAAUUUUUCAGGCCUAGUAUAUUCUCUAGGGCUCUGCCUUAGGGAGUGUGCGGCCGUAUCACGUGGCCGGACCUAGGUGUCGGGUUCGGGGUGUAACAGUAACUGACUUCUGUUACUAAGAUUUGGUUCAGUUAUCAUGAGGUAACAAGGAUUAAAUAGGUCUUUUGAAUGCUCAUGUAUUGCACAUAUUUUCCAAACUGCUUGGAAAAGAGUUUCUGUCAUAAAUUAACGUUGCAAUGUGGAUUAGGAAUAUAACACCUGGAUGGCAAUCACUGUGGGUGUACUUUUAUCUUCUCAUCAGAUCUCCACAGAAUUCCUUAGAUACGUAAAUCUUUUGCUGCUUAUGUUCUAA
Molecule: long non-coding RNA, 660 nt
Filed under: Phoenix dactylifera (date palm)
Lineage: Eukaryota; Viridiplantae; Streptophyta; Magnoliopsida; Arecales; Arecaceae
Description: long non-coding RNA (PDAC_LNC019113)
Source: RNAcentral